RNAcentral lists this ribosomal RNA (472 nucleotides) under uncultured bacterium. Its description in RNAcentral is "SSU rRNA". It matches the Rfam family "Bacterial small subunit ribosomal RNA", at positions 26 to 518 of the family's 1533-position model. The record is from RNAcentral.
AGGAUGAACGCUGGCGGCGUGCCUAACACAUGCAAGUCGAACGUCCUGUCUCGCAAGAGGCAGGGAGUGGCGGACGGGUGAGUACCACGUGGGUUAUCUACCGUGAGGUGAGGAAUACCGGCGAGAAAUCGCCGACAAGACCGCAUAGGCUCGGUGCAAGUCGAGGAAAGCUCUCUCGAGAGAGGGAGCGCCACACGAGGAGCCUGCGCCCGAUUAGCUAGCUGGUGGAGUAAUGGUUCACCAGGGCGACGAUCGGUAGCUGGUCUGAGAGGACGAUCAGCCAUACUGGGAUUGAGAACGGCCCAGACUCCUACGGGGGGCAGCAGUGAGGAAUUUUCCGCAAUGGGGGCAACCCUGACGGAGCAACGCCGCGUGCAGGAGGACGCUUUUCGGAGUGUAAACUGCUUUUCUCGAGGAGAAACCGGACGGUACUCGAGGAAGAAGCCCCGGCUAACUACGUGCCAGCAGCCGC